CGACCGGCGCACGGGUGCGUAACGCGUAUGCAACCUACCUUUAACGGGGGAGUAACAACUGAGAAAUUGGUACUAAUACCCCAUAAUAUCAUAGAAGGCAUCUUUUAUGGUUGAAAAUUCCGAUGGUUAGAGAUGGGCAUGCGUUGUAUUAGCUAGUUGGUGGGGUAACGGCUCACCAAGGCGACGAUACAUAGGGGGACUGAGAGGUUAACCCCCCACACUGGUACUGAGACACGGACCAG
This 242-nucleotide ribosomal RNA is filed under the name uncultured bacterium. Its description in RNAcentral is "partial 16S ribosomal RNA". It matches the Rfam family "Bacterial small subunit ribosomal RNA", at positions 92 to 334 of the family's 1533-position model. The record is from RNAcentral.